RNAcentral lists this ribosomal RNA (495 nucleotides) under uncultured bacterium. RNAcentral's name for it is "partial 16S ribosomal RNA". It matches the Rfam family "Bacterial small subunit ribosomal RNA", at positions 28 to 507 of the family's 1533-position model. The record is from RNAcentral.
GACGAACGCUGGCGGCGUGCCUAAUACAUGCAAGUCGAACGCUGAAGGAGGAGCUUGCUUCUCCGGAUGAGUUGCGAACGGGUGAGUAACGCGUAGGUAACCUGCCUGGUAGCGGGGGAUAACUAUUGGAAACGAUAGCUAAUACCGCAUAACAGUAGAUAUUGCAUGAUAUCUGCUUGAAAGGUGCAAUUGCAUCACUACCAGAUGGACCUGCGUUGUAUUAGCUAGUUGGUGAGGUAACGGCUCACCAAGGCGACGAUACAUAGCCGACCUGAGAGGGUGAUCGGCCACACUGGGACUGAGACACGGCCCAGACUCCUACGGGAGGCAGCAGUAGGGAAUCUUCGGCAAUGGACGGAAGUCUGACCGAGCAACGCCGCGUGAGUGAAGAAGGUUUUCGGAUCGUAAAGCUCUGUUGUAAGAGAAGAACGAGUGUGAGAGUGGAAAGUUCACACUGUGACGGUAUCUUACCAGAAAGGGACGGCUAACUACGUG